This 1504-nucleotide ribosomal RNA is filed under the name uncultured Klebsiella sp. RNAcentral's name for it is "bacterial SSU rRNA". It matches the Rfam family "Bacterial small subunit ribosomal RNA". The record is from RNAcentral. Lineage: Bacteria; Pseudomonadati; Pseudomonadota; Gammaproteobacteria; Enterobacterales; Enterobacteriaceae.
UAGAGUUUGAUCCUGGCUCAGAUUGAACGCUGGCGGCAGGCCUAACACAUGCAAGUCGAGCGGUAGCACAGAGAGCUUGCUCUCGGGUGACGAGCGGCGGACGGGUGAGUAAUGUCUGGGAAACUGCCUGAUGGAGGGGGAUAACUACUGGAAACGGUAGCUAAUACCGCAUAAUGUCGCAAGACCAAAGUGGGGGACCUUCGGGCCUCAUGCCAUCAGAUGUGCCCAGAUGGGAUUAGCUAGUAGGUGGGGUAACGGCUCACCUAGGCGACGAUCCCUAGCUGGUCUGAGAGGAUGACCAGCCACACUGGAACUGAGACACGGUCCAGACUCCUACGGGAGGCAGCAGUGGGGAAUAUUGCACAAUGGGCGCAAGCCUGAUGCAGCCAUGCCGCGUGUGUGAAGAAGGCCUUCGGGUUGUAAAGCACUUUCAGCGGGGAGGAAGGCGAUAAGGUUAAUAACCUUGUCGAUUGACGUUACCCGCAGAAGAAGCACCGGCUAACUCCGUGCCAGCAGCCGCGGUAAUACGGAGGGUGCAAGCGUUAAUCGGAAUUACUGGGCGUAAAGCGCACGCAGGCGGUCUGUCAAGUCGGAUGUGAAAUCCCCGGGCUUAACCUGGGAACUGCAUUCGAAACUGGCAGGCUAGAGUCUUGUAGAGGGGGGGUAGAAUUCCAGGUGUAGCGGUGAAAUGCGUAGAGGUCUGGAGGAAUACCGGUGGCGAAGGCGGCCCCCUGGACAAAGACUGACGCUCAGGUGCGAAAGCGUGGGGAGCAAACAGGAUUAGAUACCCUGGUAGUCCACGCCGUAAACGAUGUCGAUUUGGAGGUUGUGCCCUUGAGGCGUGGCUUCCGGAGCUAACGCGUUAAAUCGACCGCCUGGGGAGUACGGCCGCAAGGUUAAAACUCAAAUGAAUUGACGGGGGCCCGCACAAGCGGUGGAGCAUGUGGUUUAAUUCGAUGCAACGCGAAGAACCUUACCUGGUCUUGACAUCCACAGAACUUUCCAGAGAUGGAUUGGUGCCUUCGGGAACUGUGAGACAGGUGCUGCAUGGCUGUCGUCAGCUCGUGUUGUGAAAUGUUGGGUUAAGUCCCGCAACGAGCGCAACCCUUAUCCUUUGUUGCCAGCGGUUAGGCCGGGAACUCAAAGGAGACUGCCAGUGAUAAACUGGAGGAAGGUGGGGAUGACGUCGAGUCAUCAUGGCCCUUACGACCAGGGCUACACACGUGCUACAAUGGCAUAUACAAAGAGAAGCGACCUCGCGAGAGCAAGCGGACCUCAUAAAGUAUGUCGUAGUCCGGAUUGGAGUCUGCGACCCGACUCCAUGAAGUCGGAAUCGCUAGUAAUCGUAGAUCAGAAUGCUACGGUGAAUACGUUCCCGGGCCUUGUACACACCGCCCGUCACACCAUGGGAGUGGGUUGCAAAAGAAGUAGGUAGCUUAACCUUCGGGAGGGCGCUUACCACUUUGUGAUUCAUGACUGGGGUGAAGUCGUAACAAGGUAACCA